AGAGUUUGAUCAUGGCUCAGAUUGAACGCUGGCGGCAUGCCUUACACAUGCAAGUCGAACGGCAGCACGGGAGCUUGCUCCUGGUGGCGAGUGGCGAACGGGUGAGUAAUAUAUCGGAACGUACCCUAGAGUGGGGGAUAACGUAGCGAAAGUUACGCUAAUACCGCAUACGAUCUACGGAUGAAAGUGGGGGAUCGCAAGACCUCAUGCUCAUGGAGCGGCCGAUAUCUGAUUAGCUAGUUGGUGGGGUAAAAGCUCACCAAGGCGACGAUCAGUAGCUGGUCUGAGAGGACGACCAGCCACACUGGAACUGAGACACGGUCCAGACUCCUACGGGAGGCAGCAGUGGGGAAUUUUGGACAAUGGGCGCAAGCCUGAUCCAGCAAUGCCGCGUGAGUGAAGAAGGCCUUCGGGUUGUAAAGCUCUUUUGUCAGGGAAGAAACGGUUCGGGCUAAUAUCCUGUGCUAAUGACGGUACCUGAAGAAUAAGCACCGGCUAACUACGUGCCAGCAGCCGCGGUAAUACGUAGGGUGCAAGCGUUAAUCGGAAUUACUGGGCGUAAAGCGUGCGCAGGCGGUUGUGCAAGACAGAUGUGAAAUCCCCGGGCUCAACCUGGGAAUUGCAUUUGUGACUGCACGGCUAGAGUGUGUCAGAGGGGGGUAGAAUUCCACGUGUAGCAGUGAAAUGCGUAGAGAUGUGGAGGAAUACCGAUGGCGAAGGCAGCCCCCUGGGAUAACACUGACGCUCAUGCACGAAAGCGUGGGGAGCAAACAGGAUUAGAUACCCUGGUAGUCCACGCCCUAAACGAUGUCUACUAGUUGUCGGGUCUUAAUUGACUUGGUAACGCAGCUAACGCGUGAAGUAGACCGCCUGGGGAGUACGGUCGCAAGAUUAAAACUCAAAGGAAUUGACGGGGACCCGCACGAGCGGUGGAUGAUGUGGAUUAAUUCGAUGCAACGCGAAAAACCUUACCUACCCUUGACAUGUCUGGAAUCCUUGAGAGAUCAGGGAGUGCUCGAAAGAGAAUCAGAACACAGGUGCUGCAUGGCUGUCGUCAGCUCGUGUCGUGAGAUGUUGGGUUAAGUCCCGCAACGAGCGCAACCCUUGUCAUUAGUUGCUACGAAAGGGCACUCUAAUGAGACUGCCGGUGACAAACCGGAGGAAGGUGGGGAUGACGUCAAGUCCUCAUGGCCCUUAUGGGUAGGGCUUCGCACGUCAUACAAUGGUACAUACAGAGGGCCGCCAACCCGCGAGGGGGAGCUAAUCCCAGAAAGUGUAUCGUAGUCCGGAUUGUAGUCUGCAACUCGACUACAUGAAGUUGGAAUCGCUAGUAAUCGCGGAUCAGCAUGUCGCGGUGAAUACGUUCCCGGGUCUUGUACACACCGCCCGUCACACCAUGGGAGCGGGUUUCACCAGAAGUGGGUAGCCUAACCGCAAGGAGGGCGCUCACCACGGUGGGAUUCGUGACUGGGGUGAAGUCGUAACAAGGUA
This 1491-nucleotide ribosomal RNA is filed under the name metagenome. RNAcentral's name for it is "bacterial SSU rRNA". It matches the Rfam family "Bacterial small subunit ribosomal RNA". The record is from RNAcentral.